UAAACAUAGAUUUCUGUGAUG
RNAcentral lists this non-coding RNA (21 nucleotides) under Caenorhabditis elegans. The record is from RNAcentral. Lineage: Eukaryota; Metazoa; Nematoda; Chromadorea; Rhabditida; Rhabditidae.